Molecule: RNA transcript, 1185 nt
Organism: Quercus lobata
Lineage: Eukaryota; Viridiplantae; Streptophyta; Magnoliopsida; Fagales; Fagaceae
Exons: 3
Source: RefSeq, a predicted model, not a curated record
AUGGACCCUGACCUGUUUGCUGUGGAAAAGGAAAAGUAUCUUGCUUCUCUGUGUGAGGUGCACGAUUCCUCAGAUCCGUGGUACUUCUGGAUGAUUAUGCUCAAGAAUGGAAACUUUGAGAAAAAUACUACCCUUUGUCCUGAGAAUGGCAAGAAUGUCGGUAAAAUCAUAACAAAGCGAAAUUUUCCAUGCUUCGGUGAGGGGUAUAUGAAUCAACCACUUGUAUACCAUAAUUAUACAAGAUUGGUUUCUUCAGGGGACCAAAUAGAGUCUUUAACAGGAGGAUUUUAUGGAACAUAUGACCUUGAUGCCAAUUUAAGCAAAGGUGUAGGAAAUAAAUCAUACUUCUCGGUCACAUGGCAGAAGAAUUUGAGCACAGGAAGUUGGGUUUUCUCAUAAAGAUUAACAACAUCUUCAAAGUAUCCUUGGCUUAUGUUGUAUCUACGUGCAGAUGCAACUGAAGGAUUUAAUGGAGGUUAUCACUACAGUGGCCGUGGAAUCAUAAGAAAGUUGCUAGAAUCUCCAAACUUCAAGGUAAAGGAGACACUUGAUGUCAAACAAGGAGGAGGGCCUAACAGUCAAUUUUAUCUUCUUGAUAUAGGAAGCUAUUGGAAGAACAAGGGAGAUCCAUGUGAUGGUGAUGUUCUGACAGAUGUGACUAGAUACAGCGAAAUGAUAAUAAAUCCAGCUACUACAAGCUGGUGCCAUGCUGAUAACCUGGUCUCCUGCCCGCCUUACCAUGUUAGUCGUACUGGUGAGAAAAUAUACAGAAAUGAGACAUCUCAGUUUCCAUAUUCUUCUUAUCAUCUCUACUGCACCCCAGGAAAUGCCAAUUAUCUGGAGGAACCAUAUGAUAUCUAUGAUCCAUACAGCAAUCCACAGGCACAGGAAUUGGUGCAAAUUCUGCCACAUCCUGAAUGGGCUGUGCAUGGAUAUCUUGAAAAGCAAGGAGAUGGAUGGUUUGGAGACUUUAGCACUUGGGUGCUUGAUGUGGGUGCUCUACCUAGUCGAUUAUACUUCUACCAGGAUCCAGGAACUGAACCAGCAAGGUGUGUAUGGUCUUCAAUUAAUGUUGGUAUAGAGAUAUAUGUUAAUAGCACAGGGAUGACUGCAGAAUGAUCUGUCAGUGAUUUUGAUAUACUGGUUCUUGAAGAUGUUGCUAGCUCUGGUGUUAGCUUUGAUUGA